AAUAAUAAUAGUAAACAAAAAAUUCAUAACCCUAGUGAAAUCAAAUGCUUCCAUUGUUCUCUUAAGACUUGUGCAUACAUUCACUCAUUUAUUCA
Molecule: long non-coding RNA, 95 nt
Organism: Cucurbita moschata (crookneck pumpkin)
Lineage: Eukaryota; Viridiplantae; Streptophyta; Magnoliopsida; Cucurbitales; Cucurbitaceae
Exons: 3
Source: RefSeq, a predicted model, not a curated record